CUGAGCUGGUGAUGAGAUGGUUAUCCCUGUCCGAAACGUUCCGCUGUGGAAGCGUGACUCUGAGGCUCAG
Small nucleolar RNA from Pavo cristatus (Indian peafowl), 70 nucleotides. The record is from Ensembl. Lineage: Eukaryota; Metazoa; Chordata; Aves; Galliformes; Phasianidae.